RNAcentral lists this long non-coding RNA (1209 nucleotides) under Rattus norvegicus (Norway rat). RNAcentral's name for it is "long non-coding RNA NONRATT002085". The record is from RNAcentral. Lineage: Eukaryota; Metazoa; Chordata; Mammalia; Rodentia; Muridae.
GAAAAUUCAUACAGGAGAAAAACCCUACAAGUGUGAAGUAUGUGGCAAGAAUUUCCAUUGUACAACAUUAUUUUUAAACCACAAGAGAAGUCACUCGAGAGAGAAACCCUGCAAAUAUGAAGUAUGUAUCCUGAUCUUCUGUUGUCUAUAAUUACUUUCUGAACACAAGAAAAUUCACACAGGUGAGAAACCUGACAAUUGUGAAGUGUAAGUCAACUCUUUUAGAACUAGCCAGAUUCUUUUUACUCAUUGGAAACCAUACAAAUGUGAGGAAUGUUGAUUAUCCUCUAAAAAUUCAUACCCAUGUCUACACAAAGUAACUCAUAAUGUGGUGACAUUUACAAAUGCAAAGAAUAUGUUGAAAUGCUCAACAAAAACAUUAAGUAUCAUCAAAGAAUCAAUUCUGCAGAGAAACCAUAUAAAUCUAAAGAAUGUGGCAAAUAUGUUAGAAGUUCUAUAGCAUGGUCCAAACAUGGGAUAAUUCCUACUGGAGAGAAACAUAGUUGUGGAGAAUGCAGCCAAAACUAUUAUCAGUCUUCUGGUCUUAAGCAACAUUCAAGAAUUCCUGUGUGAGAGAAAGCACACAAGUAUGAAAAAUAUUCCAAGGUCUUUUGUACUUACUAAGGAGCAUGUAAAACAUCUUAAUUCAUAGAGACUAAAAUUCCACGUGUGAAAAAUGUUGCAAAUCCUUUAAUAAACUUUCUUAUAUUUCUCAGCACAAGGUAGUUUGAACUAUAGUGAAAUAAUACAAAUGUUUAAAUAUUCAGAAUAUUUUAAUACUUCUUCAGACACUAAUAUUUGUGGAAACCUUCAUGGUAAAUAGAAACCAUAUAAGAUUGAGGAAAUAAAGCCUUUGGAAUCAUUCACAUAAUCCUGUCAAAAGUACAGCUAUCAGACUUUUUUCUUCUGGAUUUUGGGCUGAUCCUUUCUUGCUGUCUUGUUUCUUCUGUUUUAGAAUCAGAACACUUCAAUUAUACAAUUGUGUUGGAAAUGUAGUCACUCAUUUUUAUGUUGUAAGAGAUCACACAUAAGAGAUUACCCUUAGUCUCACAUGACACAUGGACUGUGGCCUUUCAUAGUGUUUUAAUUGUUGAAUACUUUGUGGACCUUUCGAGUUGUAGCCUAUUUUACUUAUGAGAGAAGAGUAAUGUUGGGGAAAGGGGAAGAAAUGGGGAUUAAAGCUCUGACUAUGGCUAGCAUGAUAAGUUU